UGGGAGAUCGUCUAAUGGUAGGACAUCGCCCUCUGAAGGCGACUAUCUAGGUUCGAGUCCUAGUCUCCCAG
RNAcentral lists this transfer RNA (71 nucleotides) under Minisyncoccota bacterium. RNAcentral's name for it is "tRNA-Gln". It matches the Rfam family "tRNA". From Rfam's summary of the family: Transfer RNA (tRNA) molecules are approximately 80 nucleotides in length. Lineage: Bacteria; Bacillati; Minisyncoccota. The record is from RNAcentral.